RNAcentral lists this small nucleolar RNA (75 nucleotides) under Ciona intestinalis (vase tunicate). The record is from RNAcentral. Lineage: Eukaryota; Metazoa; Chordata; Ascidiacea; Phlebobranchia; Cionidae.
UGCCAAUGAUGAUAAAAUAUCACCAUCUUUCGACUGAUAAUAAUGAUGUAUUCUACACUUUAUCUGAGGCAUGCU